RNAcentral lists this ribosomal RNA (228 nucleotides) under uncultured bacterium. Its description in RNAcentral is "partial 16S ribosomal RNA". It matches the Rfam family "Bacterial small subunit ribosomal RNA", at positions 335 to 557 of the family's 1533-position model. The record is from RNAcentral.
ACUCCUACGGGAGGCAGCAGUGGGGAAUAUUGCACAAUGGGCGCAAGCCUGAUGCAGCCAUGCCGCGUGUAUGAAGAAGGCCUCGGUUGUAAAUGCACUUCAGUCGUGAGGAAGGUAGUGUAGUUAAUAGCUGCAUUAUUUGACGUUAGCGACAGAAGAAGCACCGGCUAACUCCGUGCCAGCAGCCGCGGUAAUACGGAGGGUGCGAGCGUUAAUCGGAAUUACUGG